RNAcentral lists this long non-coding RNA (2437 nucleotides) under Brachypodium distachyon (stiff brome). RNAcentral's name for it is "long non-coding RNA (BDIS_LNC004001)". The record is from RNAcentral. Lineage: Eukaryota; Viridiplantae; Streptophyta; Magnoliopsida; Poales; Poaceae.
GGACGGACUGGCUCGGCUGAGUACUGCUGACUGUGCCUGCGUGGCUGUGCUUGGGCAGGGGCCACACACUUGAAUUCUACUUGCGGCACGCGGGUUUUCCCCGUCCACUUGUUCUGGGACUGGGUUGUAGGAGAACUGGUGGGCUGAGUAGUUGGACGGGACCAUCGCCCUUUCGAAUGACCUCGGCGCGUGGCAUCCCCACCUUGUCUGUACUUUAUUUAUCAAAGCUACUGUGCCUGUCAUCACUUGCUGGAUCAAUUUCCAUUCCUUUCUUAUAUUGGCUUUUUAAUUGUGGGUGUCUUUUGUGGUGGGGCUAAUCAAUUUUUCAUGGCUUGAUGUUUUUUUUAAGACAGUCAUGCCUAAGAGCAUCUCCAACAGCAUACUCAUAUUUUAUAGAAUAUCCAAAAACUGUCAAUACGUGUAUUUUGUCCCAAAAUACGUCUCUAACAGCGUACCCAUAAAUUUCGGAUAACCAAAUUAUUUUUGAUAGCUAUUCAUAUUGGAGGUUAAAAUAUGGUAGCUGUCCAAAACACCCGACCAGUGGCGGGACGGCCAACUGCCUCGUUCCGGCCAUUUCCGAGCCGGCGCCGGUCUCCGAUUCCGGCGGCCGGACCGCGCCGCCGCCGACCACCGCUGUCCUCCCACCGUAGCCGACCCCUCCGCCACCUCCCUGGGUGCCCCCGCCGGCGUUCCCCUGCCCCCGUUCGGCUUAGCCCCGGCCGCAUCGGGUGCCGCCGCUGGCGGGGCCGCCCCCAACUGCUGCCCCGCGCCUGGCGCCACCGUAGCCAGACGGGGAGAGGAAGAAGAGCAGGGGCCGCCCGCUCCCUCUGCCCCGCGUCCCCAAGGCGCGACGGUGGCUCGCGCGGUGCCGAUGCCGGCAGGCGCCUCGCGGCCCUCGUCCGAGCCUGCGGUGGCCUCCGUCAGCCCUCGUCCAAGCCUUCCGCGGCCUCUGCCGGCCUCGCCGCUGCAUUCCACCGCCCGAGAUGGCUGCCGCCGCCACCUGCGCCCUCGGCCACGCACCGCGCUGCAGCCGCCUGCGCCUCCGUGUGCAGCUCUGCUCGUACCGCGCCGCCACCGCCCGUGCCCUGGGUCCCCGCCUGUGUGCCAGAGGGCGCCAUGCCGCUCAGCUCUGCUCAGAGGAAGGAGAAACUUUUUAGUGUUACGAUGUUGGAAAUGUUCCUAUGGGUUGUUAUGUUAGUCUUGUUUGGCAGGGUGCAGGCUUGUCCUGACGUAAUCAACUACUGCAAAAGUGAAGUGCCGUCCACUCGGUUUUGUCUAAACUCUGUUCCAUUUGGUACAAGGAGAACCAACGGAUGCCGUUCUUUUCUCGAUUGGGAUAGGAAGGAAGGAUGUGAUGCUAUGAGUGAACAAGCCACUUGUAUUUUAUUUAUUUAUUUCUUUUUGGAGAGAGAGAAUAUCCCUGAAGAUGAAAGAGAGCACCAAACGCCAAAAGCUAGUCGCAGCUAAGAUUAUUAGACCCAAGUAUUUGAAGAAAAAGACGGCCAUCUGGGCUUGUAUUUUUAAAGAAUCCUGUUCUUAUCUCUCCAAUUUUCUGCAAAGUCGGAGAUCACCCACUUGACCACUAACGUUGACUCAUUGUCCAACCUUCACUUUUGGUCUUCAUCUUAAGCCUUCCCAAAAAAUUAUUGUAGUGACAAUUCUGAAGAAUCAAACACUUUACAAGUGUUCGCAUGUAGCCCAAAUAGCAUUUACUCUUGUAAGAGGAACAAUUGAUGGCGGUGGUCCGUCACCACUCCGCUUUUUUUAUUUGUAAAAAAGUUACAAUUAGAUUUAUUACAUAACUAGAUAGUGAUGAUAUUUGCCAUAAAAAUUAGAUAAAAGAACUAGCAAGUGCUAUAUAAUACUACUGCUUUUUAAUUUCAUUUAUCUUCAGAAAGCGGUCUAAUUUGUCUUUUCUGUAAUAACACGGGUUAUUUAGCUAGUAUGGAGUAUAAUAAAGGAAUCAUAUUCUUGCAGCUAGGCCUAUAACUAGGUUUAAAAAGAACCUUCUAUGAAGAAAACGGAUGUUCACAUGAAAGUUGACAGUAUUUCAUGACAUUUAACCUGAGCACCGAAGAAACCAAGCAAAUCUCAAGGAGCUCACCAAGAUCAACGCACUAAUCUCAAUAUGCAGUCAGCAUCACCGAGCCACGGAGCCAGUAUAAAUUUAGUAGCGCAGUGGAAGACAGGGACUUGAUAAGGGGAUGGGGAGAAUGAGAUUGGCCACUUGGCCUCUAUAUUAGCCUAUCUGCUUAAGGGGACAAACAGCAGAAUUUAUGUGGCUAUGGUAAACUAAAGCUUCAGACAAGCUCAUUAAAGUAAAGCUGGAAAGGUCCGUCAGUGCGGUUACUCUUAUCCACAACUAUCGGUCAACACAAAUCUAAUCCGCUUCUGGACACCGACACAAAGGUAUGGACCCUAGCAUCUUACUAUAUCC